Molecule: ribosomal RNA, 252 nt
Filed under: uncultured bacterium
Lineage: Bacteria
Description: partial 16S ribosomal RNA
Rfam family: Bacterial small subunit ribosomal RNA
Source: RNAcentral
UACGGGGGAUGCGAGCGUUGUCCGGAUUCACUGGGCGUAAAGGGCGCGUAGGCGGCCCGGUCAGUCGGCGCUCUAAGUGCGGGGCUCAACCCCGUGAUGGCGCCGGGACGGCCGGGCUGGGGCGCGGCAGAGGGAGACGGAAUGCCGGGUGUAGUGGUGAAAUGCGUAGAGAUCCGGCGGAACACCGGUGGCGAAGGCGGCUCACUGGACCGGUACUGACGCUGAUGCGCGAAAGCGUGGGGAGCAAACGGG